AUGGGGAGUCGGAAAAUGGCGUCACAGCCCGGGCGCGGCACCGGCGGCGGCGGCGACGCUGGGACGUCGCAGCGCGGGCAGGUGCAGAGCCUGGCGAGGCAGGGGUCUCUGUACAGCCUCACCCUCGACGAGGUGCAGAACCAUCUGGGAGAGCCCCUGCAGAGCAUGAACCUCGACGAGCUGCUCAGGACCGUGUUUCCUGACGACAUGGAGCCCGAUGGCGCGACCACCAGCCAGUAUGUGCCGAGUUCAAGCCUCCUGCGCCAGGGCAGCAUCACGAUGCCGACCGAGCUCAGCAAGAAGACGGUGGAUGAGGUGUGGAAGGGCAUCCAGGAUGCGCCCAAGAGGAGUGUCCAGGGGAGUGGCCGGCGCAAGCGGGAGAGGCAGCCCACACUCGGGGAGAUGACACUCGAGGAUUUCUUGGUCCAAGCAGGGGUUGUUUCCCAGGGAUUUCUCAAGGACACGAGCGAUGCUGGCAAUUUGGGUCUGGUGGGGAGAGAGGCUACAGCAGCCGGAGCCGCAGAUUUGACAUCAGGAGCACAGUGGUUAGGCCAUUACCAGCAGCAGAUUGCAGCUGCAGCCAUCGACACUCAUCAGCAUGGCCAGCAAAUUGUGCCAGCUGCUUAUAUGCCCAUUCAGUUUGUCCCUCAGCCGCUGAAUGUUGUUGGCCCUGGUGCCACUCUGGGGUCUGCUUACUCUGAUGGCCAGAGUACAUCACCAAUGAUCAGUCCAAUCUCUGAUUCUCAGACACCUGGGAGAAAGCGUGGUGUAUCAGGAGAUGUCCCCAAUAAGUUUGUGGAGAGAAGGCAGAAGAGGAUGAUCAAGAAUAGGGAGUCGGCUGCACGUUCAAGGGCUAGGAAACAGGCCUACACCAAUGAACUCGAAAACAAGGUAUCCCGUUUAGAAGAGGAGAAUGAGAGGCUAAAGAAGCAAAAGGAGUUGAACAUGAUGCUUUGCUCGGUGCCUCUACCAGAACCCAAGUACCAACUCAGGAGAACAUGCUCGGCCGCUUUCUGA
This 1017-nucleotide ribosomal RNA is filed under the name Triticum aestivum (bread wheat). RNAcentral describes it as "partial small subunit ribosomal RNA". The record is from RNAcentral. Lineage: Eukaryota; Viridiplantae; Streptophyta; Magnoliopsida; Poales; Poaceae.